AAGACACCCUUCUGGGGCAAGACUUGCUUCAGUGGGGCUUUGGUGCUCACUGAGUCUGCCCCCUGGAGUGUGUCCUU
Non-coding RNA from Myotis davidii, 77 nucleotides. NCBI's taxonomy places the organism in Eukaryota, Metazoa, Chordata, Mammalia, Chiroptera, Vespertilionidae. The record is from Rfam.